Podarcis lilfordi (Lilford's wall lizard) is the source of this 72-nucleotide non-coding RNA. The record is from the annotation of a GenBank genome assembly. NCBI's taxonomy places the organism in Eukaryota, Metazoa, Chordata, Lepidosauria, Squamata, Lacertidae.
AGGGCUGUAGCUCAGUGGUAGAACACUUGCUCUGCAUGCAGAAGGUCCCGGGUUCAAGCCCCAAUAGCAUUU